Long non-coding RNA from Carassius gibelio (silver crucian carp), 903 nucleotides. RefSeq lists it as uncharacterized. Lineage: Eukaryota; Metazoa; Chordata; Actinopteri; Cypriniformes; Cyprinidae. The transcript has 3 exons. The record is from RefSeq and is a predicted model, not a curated record.
AGGGUCAGCUUACUGGAAACAAAAUUCUAGGAAGGUUUUUGCUGUGCCUGAACAACAGUUUUUAGAUAUGAGAUCCAAAAGGAGAAGAUUAAGCCAACGGGAUGAUGACAGCCAGCUACCAGAGGUCUUGGAGAGAAUUGAAGAGGUGGUCUUGGCAUCCCAAGAACUGCCAGAGGUUGCACAGGCUAUAAGAGGGUAAUCUGAGCUGACGUUGGCACGCAGACGUUUUAUUACAUUCACGGACGAAGAACGUGCAGCUAUUAAAAAUGCAUUUGCUUGCGUGAUUUGCAAAGGGCCCAUGAAUGAUCCUGUUUUUGCAGUUUGCUGUCAGAGUCUCAUUGCAUGCAAAGUGUGCUUUGACCAGUGGCAGCGAAAUCCAACACCUGUGUGAAAUGCAGAGCAGACAACUCAAGGGAAAACACCUACAGGGUCACAGGAAUUGAUGGUGCAUUGUCUGCUUUUGGUGAUCUUAUCAAAGAUUAAAUACAGUGAGGAAAAAAAGCUGUAUACCUGUUACAAGUGUCACACAUUAAGAAGUUUCAUAAUAUGGCACCACUACGGCAGCUCUUUAUUAGUUACUGGUGUUUGUUACAUGUUAAGAGUAUAUAUUCUCUUGAAUAUACAGUAUAAAAAAAGUUAUUACUGUUCAGUCAUUGACUUAAAAGUGAGAAGCACUACAGGCAGCACUUUUUCUGCUUUAAUCAGAGUAAUUAUAUACCAAAUAUCACUGUUUAAGGGUCAAGUUCAACUUUUGAAGUAAAAUGCAGCACUGGAAAGCACUUUAUUAAAGCUUUAUUGUGACAGUUUUAUACCUCAAAUUACAUCGUUUUAAUACAAUUGAUAAUGCCUAUGUUCAAAAGACUUGUUUUUGUAAAAUGAUUGUUCACAGAAAUAUGUAAUAAA